This 241-nucleotide ribosomal RNA is filed under the name uncultured Lactobacillus sp. RNAcentral describes it as "partial 16S ribosomal RNA". It matches the Rfam family "Bacterial small subunit ribosomal RNA", at positions 122 to 355 of the family's 1533-position model. The record is from RNAcentral. Lineage: Bacteria; Bacillati; Bacillota; Bacilli; Lactobacillales; Lactobacillaceae.
UAACCUGCCCAAGAGAUCGGGAUAACACCUGGAAACAGAUGCUAAUACCGGAUAACAACAGAUGAUGCCUAUCAACUGUUUAAAAGAUGGUUCUGCUAUCACUCUUGGAUGGACCUGCGGUGCAUUAGCUAGUUGGUAGGGUAACGGCCUACCAAGGCGAUGAUGCAUAGCCGAGUUGAGAGACUGACCGGCCACAUUGGGACUGAGACACGGCCCAAACUCCUACGGGAGGCAGCAGCCA